Amaranthus tricolor (Joseph's coat) is the source of this 989-nucleotide long non-coding RNA. RefSeq lists it as uncharacterized. Lineage: Eukaryota; Viridiplantae; Streptophyta; Magnoliopsida; Caryophyllales; Amaranthaceae. The record is from RefSeq and is a predicted model, not a curated record. The transcript is spliced from 3 exons.
AGUGAAUAGUGAAAAAAAUAAAUGAGACUAAUGUAUAAAAUAGGAGGUAAUAAUAGAAAUCAGUUUUAUGCUUUCCACUAUUCAUCAUCUUCUUGGACACUAAUAUUUUUCAAAUCCUAAUUUCAUGAACUUCAAGAAUUGAAAUAACUGCUUUCCUCCUCAAACCAUUUGAAACCCAUGCCUCUCAUCCUGUUCUUCGUUGUCUUCGAUUUUCGAAGGAAGACACAACCCUAACCCCAUCUUCUUCAUCUGAUUUCGAAGCAACAAUGUCCUUAUUCAUCUGAUUUCGCUCCUUGUUUUUCUCUCUUCAAAUCUAAAUACCCUUUCAAUUUCUAAGUUUCGAAACCCAAAGCAGCCGACUACUUCCUUCUCUUGAUGAAUCUCAUCUCCUACCUCUGAUGCUUUAAACAAUCCUCUUCCCCAUUUUAGUUUUGAUUUUCGAAAUCCACCAUUGUACCACCUCUGCAAGGUUCUUGUUCCUCAAAUAGGACACAUCAGGGUAAAGCAAGCAUUACUCAUCUUCUACCUCGAAUUUUCGCAAGAGACACAGCAAGUCUUCCCUCCAAGCCUUCGUUCGAUUCUGGCGAAAAAGGAGCAGGAUUCGACCUAGUUGAGGAGCACUUCUAAUCGAUAGCUGUGAUUUAGAUUCGACUCUUUGAAGCAUAUUUUGCAACUGUUUACAGAUCGAAACCGGUCGGGAACGAUGGGUUAAGCGGUGAUGGUUAGAGUUACUUGGAUAUUAAAAUGAGCUGAGUACAUGAGAAUUUGUAGUGUUGUAUUAGGUUUUGAUAAAUGUAUGUUGGACUAGAUUGUAUUAGUUAUGUUGGACUUUCAUAGUGGCUUUUAUGAUUACUUUGUGUUUUAGUUAAGUGUUUAGUUUGAGAAUUAGCUGAUACAGCUAUGUCAUAGAACUGGUGAUCUCUUGCACAAUUUUGAAUUUUAAAUUUGAGUUUCUUGGGAAAUAAACUCCGUGAUGACCCUGUUUACUC